Molecule: non-coding RNA, 21 nt
Filed under: Caenorhabditis elegans
Lineage: Eukaryota; Metazoa; Nematoda; Chromadorea; Rhabditida; Rhabditidae
Source: RNAcentral
UCUCAAAGCAAGUUAUUUUUU